Molecule: transfer RNA, 75 nt
Filed under: Victivallales bacterium
Lineage: Bacteria; Pseudomonadati; Lentisphaerota; Lentisphaeria; Victivallales
Description: tRNA-Glu
Rfam family: tRNA
About the family: Transfer RNA (tRNA) molecules are approximately 80 nucleotides in length. Their secondary structure includes four short double-helical elements and three loops (D, anti-codon, and T loops).
Source: RNAcentral
GUCUCCAUCGUCUAAGGGUUAGGACACCAGGUUUUCAUCCUGGUAAUAGCAGUUCGAAUCUGCUUGGAGAUGCCA